RNAcentral lists this ribosomal RNA (855 nucleotides) under Triticum aestivum (bread wheat). RNAcentral describes it as "partial small subunit ribosomal RNA". The record is from RNAcentral. Lineage: Eukaryota; Viridiplantae; Streptophyta; Magnoliopsida; Poales; Poaceae.
AUGACUACUGCAGGUUUUGAUGGUCCUUCAGCAAAAAGGAAGAGAAAGAGUCAAUUUAGGGGUAUUCGUCAGCGCCCCUGGGGUAAGUGGGCUGCUGAAAUCAGAGAUCCAAGCAAGGGUGCACGUGUCUGGCUUGGUACUUUCAACAGUGCUGAAGAAGCUGCAAGAGCUUACGAUGUUGAAGCACGCAGGAUCCGUGGCAACAAGGCCAAGGUUAACUUUCCAAAGGAACCAAUAGUUCCACAGAAGCGUCGUGCUCGCCCUGGUGCUCCUAAAGCACCAAAGCUAAGCGUGGCAUCGGAACCUUCUGUCAUGCCAUCAGUCAACAACCUUUCCAACCCAAAUGCUUUCAUCUACCCAUCUGCUAACUUUGCAUCAAACCAGCCACUUGCUCUACCUGACAACCUGUCAUUUUUUCCUAUAAUGAACUCUGAUGGCCCUGUUGAAGCCUCUGUUAUGAAUCAGUACUCUGACCAGGGAAUCAACUCCUUUAGCUUCUCUGACUUGGAGUGGGAUUACAACACCAAGAAUCUAGAUAUACCAUCCAUUGCUCCAAUUUCUACCAUUACUGAAGGAGCAGAAUAUGCACUUGCCCAGAGUAACGCCUAUAACUCAGUUGUGAUUCCUGAAGGAGCUGAAUCUGCACUUGCCCAGAGUAACACCUACAACUUAGUGGUGCCUCAUGUUAUGGAGAACAAUGGUGUCGAUUUCAAUGCUUGGCCAAGGUUUCUUAUGGAUGAUGAAGUGGACGAGCCGAUUGAUAGCCUUCUGAAUUUUGAUGUACCUCAGGAUGUCGUUGUCAACAUGGACCUCUGGAGCUUCGAUGGCAUGCCCAUGUGUGGCGAAUUUUUAUAA